RNAcentral lists this ribosomal RNA (484 nucleotides) under uncultured bacterium. RNAcentral's name for it is "partial 16S ribosomal RNA". It matches the Rfam family "Bacterial small subunit ribosomal RNA", at positions 30 to 507 of the family's 1533-position model. The record is from RNAcentral.
AUUGAACGCUGGCGGCAUGCUUUACACAUGCAAGUCGAACGGCAGCGCGGGCUUCGGCCUGGCGGCGAGUGGCGAACGGGCGAGUAAUGCAUCGGAACGUGCCCAGUAUUGGGGGAUAGCACGACGAAAGCCGGAUUAAUACCGCAUACGACCUGAGGUUGAAAGCGGUGGAUCGAAAGUGCUCGCGCGAUUGGAUCUGCCGAUGUCGGAUUAGCUAGUUGGUUGGGUAAAGGCUUACCAAGGCGACGAUCCGUAGCUGGUCUGAGAGGGCGACCAGCCACACUGGAACUGAGACACGGCCCAGACUCCUACGGGAGGCAGCAGUGGGGAAUUUUGGACAAUGGGCGCAACCCUGAUCCAGCCAUGCCGCGUGAGGGAAGAAGGCCUUCGGGUUGUAAACCGCUUUUGUUCGGGAAGAACUACUGUGGGCUAAUCCCCCGGGGGGAUGACGGUACCGGAAGAAUAAGCACCGGCUAACUACGUG